RNAcentral lists this ribosomal RNA (490 nucleotides) under uncultured bacterium. RNAcentral describes it as "partial 16S ribosomal RNA". It matches the Rfam family "Bacterial small subunit ribosomal RNA", at positions 30 to 507 of the family's 1533-position model. The record is from RNAcentral.
AUUGAACGCUGGCGGCAGGCCUAACACAUGCAAGUCGAACGGUAACAGGAAGAAGCUUGCUUCUUUGCUGACGAGUGGCGGACGGGUGAGUAAUGUCUGGGAAACUGCCUGAUGGAGGGGGAUAACUACUGGAAACGGUAGCUAAUACCGCAUAACGUCGCAAGACCAAAGAGGGGGACCUUCGGGCCUCUUGCCAUCGGAUGUGCCCAGAUGGGAUUAGCUAGUAGGUGGGGUAACGGCUCACCUAGGCGACGAUCCCUAGCUGGUCUGAGAGGAUGACCAGCCACCCUGGAACGGAGACACGGUCCAGACUCCUACGGGAGGCAGCAGUGGGGAAUAUUGACCAAUGGGCGCAAGCCUGAUGCAGCCAUGCCGAGUGUAUGAAGAAGGCCUUCGGGUUGUAAAGUACUUUCAGCGGGGAGGAAGGGAGUAAAGUUAAUACCUUUGCUCAUUGACGUUACCCGCAGAAGAAGCACCGGCUAACUCCGUG